This is a non-coding RNA of Brassica rapa (field mustard), 300 nucleotides long. NCBI's taxonomy places the organism in Eukaryota, Viridiplantae, Streptophyta, Magnoliopsida, Brassicales, Brassicaceae. The record is from Rfam.
UCUUUCCUCAUCAGCCAAAUUCUGAAUACAAAAGCUAAACUCUCAAUCGCUUAUUUACAUCGAAACAGAUAUCAACAUGAUUCACAAUCCCACCCGUUUGAUUCACAAUCACACCUAGAAUACAAACAACUAAAAUUAUUUAUAAGGAUUCUUUCAAAGUUUUAAGAUAAAAAAUCUGCAAAUGCAUAUAUACUAUUUAAUCUAGAGAAGCCUCCUCCUGAAGUUUCUCGUAGUUGAUUGAUAAGUACGAGCGAGAAGACCCACACCGAUCCCAACACCAACCCUUACACCAAGUCCAAU